This 423-nucleotide ribosomal RNA is filed under the name uncultured bacterium. RNAcentral describes it as "bacterial SSU rRNA". It matches the Rfam family "Bacterial small subunit ribosomal RNA", at positions 355 to 775 of the family's 1533-position model. The record is from RNAcentral.
UGGGGAAUUUUGCGCAAUGGGGGAAACCCUGACGCAGCGAUGCCGCGUGGAGGACGAAGGUCUUCGGAUUGUAAACUCCUCUUGCGGGGGAAAAAUGGCGGCGUGAAUAACGUCGUUCGAUGGUACUCCGCGAAUAAGCCACGGCUAACUUCGUGCCAGCAGCCGCGGUAAGACGAAGGUGGCGAGCGUUACUCGGAAUUACUAGGCGUAAAGCGUGAGCAGGCGGUUCGGUAAGUCCGUUGUGAAAGCCUUGGGCUCAACCCAGGGAGGCCAAUGGAUACUGCCGGACUUGAAUACGGGAGAGGUUACUGGAAUUCCUGGUGUAGCGGUGAAAUGCGUAGAUAUCAGGAGGAACACCGAAGGCGAAAGCAGGUAACUGGACCGUUAUUGACGCUGAGUCACGAAAGCCGGGGGAGCAAACAG